UACGAAGGGGGCUAGCGUUGCUCGGAAUCACUGGGCGUAAAGCGCACGUAGGCGGAUCUUUAAGUCAGGGGUGAAAUCCUGGAGCUCAACUCCAGAACUGCCUUUGAUACUGAGGAUCUUGAGUCCGGGAGAGGUGAGUGGAACUCCGAGUGUAGAGGUGAAAUUCGUAGAUAUUCGGAAGAACACCAGUGGCGAAGGCGGCUCACUGGUCCGGUACUGACGCUGAGGUGCGAAAGCGUGGGGAGCAAACAGG
This 253-nucleotide ribosomal RNA is filed under the name uncultured bacterium. RNAcentral describes it as "partial 16S ribosomal RNA". It matches the Rfam family "Bacterial small subunit ribosomal RNA", at positions 524 to 776 of the family's 1533-position model. The record is from RNAcentral.